Balaenoptera musculus (blue whale) is the source of this 107-nucleotide small nuclear RNA. The record is from Ensembl. NCBI's taxonomy places the organism in Eukaryota, Metazoa, Chordata, Mammalia, Artiodactyla, Balaenopteridae.
GUGCUCACUUCGGCAACACAUAUACUAAAAUUGGAACAAGACUGAGAAGAUUAGCACGGCCCCUGUGCAAGGAUCACAUGCAAAUUUGUGAAGCGUUCUGUAUUUUU